UGCUAACGUCCGUCGUGGAGAGGGAAACAACCCAGACCGCCAGCUAAGGUCCCAAAUUACUACUAAGUGGGAAACGAUGUGGGAAGGCUCAGACAGCCAGGAUGUUGGCUUAGAAGCAGCCAUCAUUUAAAGAAAGCGUAAUAGCUCACUGGUCGAGUCGGCCUGCGCGGAAGAUGUAACGGGGCUAAGUAGUAAACCGAAGCUGCGGCAAUGUGCUUUUGCACAUUGGGUAGGGGAGCGUUCUGUAAGCGGUUGAAGGUGUGUGGUAACGCAUGCUGGACGUAUCAGAAGUGCGAAUGCUGACAUGAGUAACGAUAAAGGGGGUGAAAAACCUCCUCGCCGGAAGACCAAGGGUUCCUGUCCAACGUUAAUCGGGGCAGGGUAAGUCGACCCCUAAGGCGAGGCCGAAAGGCGUAGUCGAUGGGAAACGGGUUAAUAUUCCCGUACUUCUUACAAUUGCGAUGGGGGGACGGAGAAGGCUAGGUGGGCCUGGCGACGGUUGUCCAGGUUCAAGUGCGUAGGCUUAAGAGUUAGGUAAAUCCGGCUCUUUUUAAGGCUGAGACACGACGUCGAGCACCUACGGGUGUGAAGUCAUUGAUGCCAUGCUUCCAGGAAAAGCCUCUAAGCUUCAGAUUGUAAGGAAUCGUACCCCAAACCGACACAGGUGGUCGGGUAGAGAAUACCAAGGCGCUUGAGAGAACUCGGGUGAAG
This 711-nucleotide ribosomal RNA is filed under the name Vibrio parahaemolyticus. RNAcentral describes it as "partial 23S ribosomal RNA". It matches the Rfam family "Bacterial large subunit ribosomal RNA", at positions 996 to 1709 of the family's 2925-position model. Lineage: Bacteria; Pseudomonadati; Pseudomonadota; Gammaproteobacteria; Vibrionales; Vibrionaceae. The record is from RNAcentral.